This 262-nucleotide ribosomal RNA is filed under the name uncultured bacterium. RNAcentral's name for it is "partial 16S ribosomal RNA". It matches the Rfam family "Bacterial small subunit ribosomal RNA", at positions 335 to 590 of the family's 1533-position model. The record is from RNAcentral.
GUCCUACGGGAGGCAGCAGUAGGGAAUCUUCCACAAUGGGCGAAAGCCUGAUGGAGCAACGCCGCGUGGGUGAAGAAGGUCUUCGGGUCGUAAAACCCUGUUGUUAGAGAAGAAAGUGCGUGAGAGUAACUGUUCACGUUUCGACGGUAUCUAACAAGAAAGCCACGGCUAACUACGUGCCAGCAGCCGCGGUAAUACGUAGGUGGCAAACGUUAUCCGGAUUUAUUGGGCGAAAAGGGAACGCAGGCGUGUUUUAAAGCUU